GCCAUUCCAGUUUAAUGCUUUUAUCUAGCAAAUGUGCCUUGUAUGGAGGGGGGCUUAGCAUACCAGGAGCUAAAAAUAAGACAGUGUCCCUGAGGGUAGGCGUUGGAUUACAGACAACAGGUCAGAUCAGCCACACCCCCAUCUCAGCCAACUGCAGUGGCAAACUUUGCUGAUUGAAAUUCUCAGUCUCCAGGAUGUCUCCCGGCAUGCCCUGGGCCUUCACAGUUCUGUGCCUUUCUGUCCAGGUAGCUUUUGCCUCCUGUACGUGAAAGGAAUUUGAAAAGAGAGCAUACACCCCAAAUUUCUGUUUGUC
RNAcentral lists this long non-coding RNA (313 nucleotides) under Homo sapiens (human). Its description in RNAcentral is "HSALNT0266902". The record is from RNAcentral. Lineage: Eukaryota; Metazoa; Chordata; Mammalia; Primates; Hominidae.